RNAcentral lists this unclassified non-coding RNA (1185 nucleotides) under Leishmania donovani. Its description in RNAcentral is "gene:LdHU3.31.1850(CDS-product:hypothetical_prote in)". Lineage: Eukaryota; Euglenozoa; Kinetoplastea; Trypanosomatida; Trypanosomatidae. The record is from RNAcentral.
CCUUUGCAUAUCUGUGCGUCCCUAUCAGCUCCGGCUGAGUGCCGUCUUCUUCGCGUUCGCGUGAUCAGCGCCGGUACAUCGCUAAGGUGCAUAUACAUGUCUGUGCGCCAAACAGGUGAUUCUACGUCACCUACGCAUCUCUCUCCCGGACUUUGGAGGCCAUUUUUCGAAGUACUCAGUAUACCCCCCCACCUCCACACACACACAAAAAUCAAAAAAUGAAGAGACAUGGUGCGUUGCUGUCGGUGUCGGUGCUGGUGUUGCUAGUGGCAGCUCUGGUAGCUACCGCCGCUGCUCCUGCGUCUGCGAUCGCUGUCGGUGUCGAGGCGACCGAGGUUUUCUCCGUCACCGAUAUUGUGCCACCAGGCAACAAUUUGGUGUUCGCAUUCUACAUGAACCCUGACUUUGUUUUUCCCGUCCGCAUUCGAUGUCGCGAAACGGGAGAUGUGCUGCAGGCGUGGAAGGGCAGCCCACAAGGGUAUCUCAAUCUCCCAUCGACGGACAAGACACGCCACCUAGUCUUUGAGUUCGACAACUCCCAGUCGCUGCUGACGCUUAGUAGUGUGAGCUUCGAGAUCCGCGUCAUCCCCGACCCGACCCGGGGCGUUCGGAGGAGGAGAUAGACCCAAUCGAAAAGAAGGUGCAGACACUCUUCGAAAAGAUGCAGACCCUGCGCAAACUACAGGAGUUGAUUCGCUACAACCAGAAGGACCACCGCGCCCUUGUCGAGCACGCGAAUGAGCGAGUGCACUGGUGGUCCAUCAUGCAGGUCGUGAGCUUCUUUGUUGCAGCGGGUGGCCAGUUGUGGCUGCUGCGGAGUUUUGUGGAGAAGCGUCGCACCAUCUGACAGCGCUCGUUGUAAGCUCCGUUGGAGGGAGAGAGACUUGUUUCUCUGAUGCUUGCCGGCGCGAGCAUGUCGGUAACGCGACGCCGCGUUGGGGAUGCUGUGCGUAGGCGUGCUAGCAAGGUUGCCCGUGCUGCCUCGCUCUGCUGCAGCGGUGCGAGACGCCCGUAAAAUGGGGAGGGCGCGUGCGUGGGCGACCGAGAAAGAAGACAUCGCUGCCGAGGAUCCCCUGCUGCCGCCCCUUCUGUUUGUCGCGUGUCUCGGCGACACCAUAUUCUUUCUUUGCUCAUCUCAACCAGUGCACUCGGUACGCUCACCUCCUUCCUGAUCCUUUUCCCUCG